Quercus robur (English oak) is the source of this 1027-nucleotide RNA transcript. It is a transcript of the gene named protein NONRESPONDING TO OXYLIPINS 2, mitochondrial, with no coding region annotated. NCBI's taxonomy places the organism in Eukaryota, Viridiplantae, Streptophyta, Magnoliopsida, Fagales, Fagaceae. The record is from RefSeq and is a predicted model, not a curated record. The transcript is spliced from 5 exons.
AAACCCGAAUUAAGCCUUGUACAAGUCAGAGGCGAUAUAGUUGGACUCGGUUCUGUAAUUCUGUUGCCUAAAACCCUAAACCCUAAACCCUAAACCUUGCCGCCGUGAAACCCAAACUUCCUUCUCCUUCGAAUCAUUUUUCACAUCAUCAUUUCCGUUCUGUUCAAUAAUUCAAUAAUGGCUUCAGCUUGCAACAGAUUCGUGAGCAGAACAUCCCUAUCGUCCAUCAAAUCCGCCAUCAGAUCCAACGUCCGUACGUCUCCAAGCUUCACCAAAUCCGCCACUUCCGCCUCCACUUCCAUUCCUCUUCGCCGAUUCUCACUCUCCCGAAUUCCAGUGGAAUUAGGAGGCGUACAGUCACUGUUGCCACUUCACAGUACGGUGGCGACGGCGAGAAUGACGUCGUGCCUGAGCACAACAUCGAGGAGUUGCCGAGCGCUUUCACAGGGUACACUCUGCUGCACCUCUCCAGGCCUCUAAUAUAACAAAUUUUUUCCCUUUCUUUUUAACUGCACAUAACUUGACUGUGGUUGAAAGAAAUAAAUUGGGAAUUUGCAGGACCUGCCAAUAAUCAAAUGGAAUUGAUGGUACGUGAGACGUGUGUGCCGUAUUUGGAGAGCUUGGUCAGUCGGUUCCAAGGUGACUAUAUAGCAGUCCACCACAACGAGAGCUUGUCUACACAGGAAUGGAAAAUCUUUCAGCAAGAUUUUGUAGUUUUUGUUUUCAAGGUUCAGUUAUUUUAAAGGAUACUGCUUGAGCCUUAAAGCGGUGAAACUGAAUUUGAUUCUUCCCAGCACAGAGAUAUUUGUUCUGUAGCUAUUCAUUAUGUUUAAUUGUCAAGUCUGUAUCUCCAGAUGACACACCCUUGCUUUCCCUGUCUGCAUCAUUUUGUAUUCUUCUGUCCUGGUUCUUGCUUUUUACUUGCAAACUUGUUGCAAUUCCUUUGGAUCCCCAAAGCCAAGAAAUACGGUCCUAAGCCAGCGUGAUGAUAUUUGAUGUUAAUGUAAGUGAACUUCUAUUGUUCCCA